RNAcentral lists this long non-coding RNA (488 nucleotides) under Physcomitrium patens. RNAcentral describes it as "long non-coding RNA (PPAT_LNC010431)". The record is from RNAcentral. Lineage: Eukaryota; Viridiplantae; Streptophyta; Bryopsida; Funariales; Funariaceae.
AAACCUCAAAGAAAUUUCAAACAAACAAUAAGAAUUCUUAAAAAAAUAUUAAAAUGAUCACAAAUAUCACUCAAAUACAUCUCAAUUCAAUCUUAAUUUAAUUUUAGUUAAAAUCCUAUUGAAUUUCAUUCAAACUUUAGGCCAAAACUAAUUAAAUCUUAAACCUUAAGAAAAUCUUAAAUCCUAAAUCCUAAAUCAAAUCCUAAAUCCUUAAUCAAAUCCUAAACAAACCUUAAACCAAAUUCCAACCAAAUCCUAAACCCUAAACAAACCUUAAACCAAAUCCCAACUAAAUCCUAAAUCCUAAAUCAAUCCCUAAUCAAAUCCUAAACCCUCAUUCAAACCCUAACUAAAUCCUAACCAAAUCCUAAUCCAAAUCCUAAAUUAAAUCCUUAUCAAAUCCUAAACCAAACCCUAACCAAACCCUAAUCCUAAUCCUAACCCUAAACCAAACCCUAAACCAAAUCCUAGUAAUUCCUACAAUAGAU